AUGAUGGAAGCUGAGAAAAAUGAUAUUACUCAAGCCUUGUGCAGAGAGCGGAAAAAUGUAACAGAACUUGAAAAACGCCUGGCCACAAUUCGAAAACGUGAAGCUGAAGUCCGUGAGGAAUUAGCUCAGAUGAAAACUUCUCUUGGCAAAAAGGUCGCUAAUUUGGAAGAAAAAUGUCAACUUUUGGUCAUUGAAAAUACACAAUUCCGGGACCAAGUGAAUGAGGUAUGUAUUUUUUUUUUAAAUAAAGUCUCAGUACUGCCAUCAGUGUAUAAAAACCAUUCCACUUAUGUGUUGAAAUGCACGUGAAAAGAAUCUUGAUGAAAUAUUCAUAAGUAGAGAAUUCGAUCAAUUGUGUGGAAGAAUGUUUUGCUAACAUUUUGCCGCUAAAAUCACCUAAAAGUGUCGAACCAUGCCAGAGUCAAUGUGAUUUGGAAUCGGUAGUUCUGGAAAUGCAAUUAAAAAGGUUAACAAAGAAAGUUUCAAUCGGCCAUCCCGCCCGGCAAGUGGUUGCCUGAAGUAGAUGCGGAAAUGUUGUCACAAUGUAACUGCCAAAAAUAAUGUUGCGGCAACGUUGCAGCAACGUUGUGGCAAUGUUAUUUUUGUCCGUUGCCGGACGGGAUGUCCAGGGCUUAGAAUUAUUAGAUCAGCAAGCAACUUUACUCUCUGUUAGGUAGUUGGACAAUUUGUUUGAAAUUUGAAUGGCCGUAAGCAGAAUCGGCGUAACUACAACAAUCCAUCCCUGAUUUUUUCUUGAAUUUUAUUUUUGUUAAAAAAACCAAGGGACUUUCUAACUCUAAAUUGUGUAAGUAUGUUCUUUGCAACCCAGAGAAACCUCUCAGAAAGUUGCAUUGGUAGCACUGUCAGGUGUGGUAUGUAAGAAACUUUUUUAAAAACAGGAAAAGAUUGAAGUUUAAAAUGUGUUAUACUUUUAAUUCAUGAUAGCACCAUGUUGUUCAGUUUUUCGUCCGAAAAGUGAAACAUGCAUAAAAAUUAGGCAACAUGAAAUGCAGAUAGGCUGAAGGUGGUCAAAUCUAAUCACCUAUUCUUCAGGAUGAGCGAGGAGAUUCUCUAUUAAUAACUCUUACUUCAAAAAUCUCAGCCCAGUUUGACAAAAACAGCUCACUUGAAAAAAUUUCUGUACAUGGUUACAUGCUGCAGGGUUACCAUAGUCAGGGAAAACCGGGAAAAGUCAGGGAAUUUAAAUAACUCAGGGACAACCUGGAAAUGUCAGAGAAUGACAAAAAUGUCAGGGAAAAAUCGUCAAAUCGCCUUCAUUUGCUUUCUCGAGUGGGUUUGACUUUUUGGAAAACAAAUUUUGCCUGAAAACUGUUUCUGCGUCUUCUUAAAAAUCCAACAUUUUUUCAACUGUCGGGGAAUUUCACCAAAAUGUGCCGGGGAAAUGUCAAGGAAUUUAAUUUUCCAAAUUCUGCGGCAACUCUGAUUUCCUUUUCAUCCUCGUUUUUACUUCUGGUGGUUUCAACAAAUAAGUGGAAAUGUUUGAAACUUUUGUAUAUAACUUUUUCUAGUUGAAAUCGAAAGUUUCGGAAAGAGGUGGCGAGUCAGGACGCAGGAUGAAUGAAUUGGAGAGUGAGCUGUCAAUCUUUAAGGAAGAAGCAGAGCGGUACAAACAAUUGACUGAGGAGUUGAGUGCAGACCUCAAAGAGAAGAGGAAAGAACUUAGGCAAUGGGAAAUGGAUAAAACCAAACUUCUUGUGGCACAACAAAGAAUUAAGGUAAGGCUCUAAGUUAAUAUUUUUCUACUCCACCCUUGAUUGUAUUUUAUUUUGCAAUGAAGAAAUUUCAUUUAUUGCUCAUCAUAGAAACAGUAUACGUCCCGUUAGUUUUCCUAUGCAAGUAGGUUCUUUUAACAGGGUGUCUACUGUACAGAAAAAGUACGAAUACACUGAAAAAGCACGGAUUUCGGAAGGUAGGUGCACGGAAGUACGGUAAAGGUAUGGAUUUUCCGUUCAAAGGUACGAAAAUUUGAAAUUUUUGUGAUAAACUCUCAAAAGUAGCUUUGUGAGUAUGGGAUUUCCAUCAAUUAAGUUUCCGGUUCGAUUCCUCGAGUUUUUCUGUCUAUUCCUUUGU
RNAcentral lists this long non-coding RNA (2091 nucleotides) under Bemisia tabaci. RNAcentral describes it as "lncRNA ENSSSA1UGG001740". The record is from RNAcentral. Lineage: Eukaryota; Metazoa; Arthropoda; Insecta; Hemiptera; Aleyrodidae.